Molecule: ribosomal RNA, 468 nt
Filed under: uncultured bacterium
Lineage: Bacteria
Description: partial 16S ribosomal RNA
Rfam family: Bacterial small subunit ribosomal RNA
Source: RNAcentral
GACGAACGCUGGCGGCGUGCUUAACACAUGCAAGUCGAACGGAAAGGCCCUGCUUUUGUGGGGUGCUCGAGUGGCGAACGGGUGAGUAACACGUGAGUAACCUGCCCUUGACUUUGGGAUAACUUCAGGAAACUGGGGCUAAUACCGGAUAGGAGCUCCUGCUGCAUGGUGGGGGUUGGAAAGUUUCGGCGGGUGGGGAUGGACUCGCGGCUUAUCAGCUUGUUGGUGGGGUAGUGGCUUACCAAGGCUUGGACGGGUAGCCGGCCUGGGAGGGGGACCGGCCACAUUGGGACUGAGAUACGGCCCAGACUGCUACGGGAGGCAGCAGUGGGGAAUAUUGCACAAUGGGCGGAAGCCGGAUGCAGCAACGCCGCGUGCGGGAUGACGGCCUUCGGGUUGUAAACCGCUUUCGCCUGUGACGAAGCGUGAGUGACGGUAAUGGGUAAAGAAGCACCGGCUAACUACGUG